This 785-nucleotide ribosomal RNA is filed under the name uncultured bacterium. RNAcentral's name for it is "bacterial SSU rRNA". It matches the Rfam family "Bacterial small subunit ribosomal RNA", at positions 1 to 779 of the family's 1533-position model. The record is from RNAcentral.
UAGAUUGCGGAUCCGCGGCCGCAGAGUUUGAUCCUGGCUCAGGACGAACGCUGGCGGCGUGCCUAACACAUGCAAGUCGAGCGGAGAAUGCAAGAUGUUUACAUUGAGCAUUCUUAGCGGCGGACGGGUGAGUAACACGUGGGUAACCUGCCUCAGAGUGGGGGAUAGCCUUUCGAAAGGAAGAUUAAUACCGCAUAAGCUUGUAGCAUCGCAUGGUGCAGCAAGAAAAGGAGCAAUCCGCUCUGAGAUGGACCCGCGGCGCAUUAGCUAGUUGGUGAGGUAACGGCUCACCAAGGCCACGAUGCGUAGCCGACCUGAGAGGGUGAUCGGCCACAUUGGAACUGAGACACGGUCCAGACUCCUACGGGAGGCAGCAGUGGGGAAUAUUGCACAAUGGGCGAAAGCCUGAUGCAGCAACGCCGCGUGAGUGAUGAAGGCUUUCGAGUCGUAAAGCCCUUUGAUCAGGGAUGAUAAUGACAGUACCUGAAAAACAAGCCACGGCUAACUACGUGCCAGCAGCCGCGGUAAUACGUAGGUGGCGAGCGUUGUCCGGAAUUACUGGGCGUAAAGGAUGCGUAGGUGGAUAUUUAAGUGGGAUGUGAAAUCCCCGGGCUCAACCCGGGAACUGCAUUCCAAACUGGAUAUCUAGAGUGCAGGAGAGGAAAGCGGAAUUCCUAGUGUAGCGGUGAAAUGCGUAGAUAUUAGGAGGAACACCAGUGGCGAAGGCGGCUUUCUGGACUGUAACUGACACUGAGGCAUGAAAGCGUGGGUAGCAAACAGGGAUU